AGACUCUCCUUUGCCUUUAAACCCUUCUUUCGCCUUUUUCUAAAGAUUUCCAUGGAGAGGAACAUUUAUGAGUUUCUACCCAAUUUUUUUUUUUGGAAUUCUCUCUUAUCCAUA
RNAcentral lists this small nuclear RNA (114 nucleotides) under Chelonia mydas (Green sea turtle). RNAcentral describes it as "U5 spliceosomal RNA". It matches the Rfam family "U5 spliceosomal RNA". From Rfam's summary of the family: U5 RNA is a component of both types of known spliceosome. The precise function of this molecule is unknown, though it is known that the 5' loop is required for splice site selection and p220 binding, and that both the 3' stem-loop and the Sm site are important for Sm protein binding and cap methylation. The record is from Rfam by way of RNAcentral. Lineage: Eukaryota; Metazoa; Chordata; Testudines; Cheloniidae.